UACGAAGGGGGCUAGCGUUGCUCGGAAUCACUGGGCGUAAAGGGUGCGUAGGCGGGUUCUUAAGUCAGAGGUGAAAUCCUGGAGCUCAACUCCAGAACUGCCUUUGAUACUGAGAGUCUUGAGUUCGGGAGAGGUGAGUGGAACUGCGAGUGUAGAGGUGAAAUUCGUAGAUAUUUGCAAGAACACCAGUGGCGAAGGCGGCUCACUGGCCCGAUACUGACGCUGAGGCACGAAAGCGUGGGGAGCAAACAGG
RNAcentral lists this ribosomal RNA (253 nucleotides) under uncultured bacterium. RNAcentral's name for it is "partial 16S ribosomal RNA". It matches the Rfam family "Bacterial small subunit ribosomal RNA", at positions 524 to 776 of the family's 1533-position model. The record is from RNAcentral.